Ixodes scapularis (black-legged tick) is the source of this 463-nucleotide long non-coding RNA. RefSeq lists it as uncharacterized. Lineage: Eukaryota; Metazoa; Arthropoda; Arachnida; Ixodida; Ixodidae. The transcript has 4 exons. The record is from RefSeq and is a predicted model, not a curated record.
CAGCUUUUCAUCCCAUUCUAUGUGUCUUUGCCAGAGUUUUUGGAAUAGAGCUUUUGCUCUAACAGUGAAUUGUGACAACCAUACAAGGGGGGUCGUACAUACUGGUGACCCUUAAGGCGUCUUCGGGCAAGGUUCGCCGCGCGGCAUUGCUACGCUUCCUGAGCCAAGUUCCGUGGACACAACGGUGUGCCUUCCACCACAUAUCUACACUGCAAUGCCAGGACUGCCAUCUACACAGGCUAUUCGUAACUGCGGAACUUGCUAUCGCUCGCUCCGAGUGGGCGGUGUCUGCGAGUGUUACGAUCACUUUGGUGGUGGCAGUGACAGCAGAAGGAUGUUCGAUAACCGUCUCUGCAUUUUUACAGCAUGCUGAACAACUGAUACAGAACGAAGAUAAGCUUUCGAUUUUCCACUGCAACGAACCCUGCAGACCAAGGGGCUGGCACGAGUGUGAAGACUCCGG